CUGAGCAAUCCUUGCAAAUCUCACAUCUGUUAUAUAUUUGUUGCGGGGACUGUGGCUUGCAAUCCUCACUCACAGUUACAGCUGAGCUACCCCUUUAUAUAUGGAUCCUUACAACCCUCACUUUCCCUCAUAACUCACUUGUUCGCUAACAAUCUGCAACCCUUCUUCUUCACGAUGUAGCCAGAUUCGUUCUGUUGAUCUUACAUCCAAGCUUGCUGUGCUUGCUGUCUACUCCACCUUGAUCGAUAGGCCACUAAACAUGUCCACGCAGUUUCACAACAAUCCAUCCUUCAACGGAUCUGAUCUUGUGGAAAUGGUCCAAGAUCGUGACGCGUCCUUAAUUUCAAAUGUGAUUUCCUUAAUUAAUUAAGUUACAAUUUGUAUAGCUGAUAACACGGUUGACGUGACUAUGAUCAUUUCUAAUAAGAUUCUCGGAGUGACCCUACUCAACCGGCACUCAUGUGAACUUAUAAUAAAUGAUCAGGCAAUUUUAUUCAUCAGUGUGCAUAGUAUAUAGCCUACCUUAUUUUUAAAAGUUUUUCUUCCCCAUCUAGUGUCAUGUAUUGUAAAAGGGUAAUUCAAACAAAUGGGAUUGAAAUUCCUCCCCUAGGGUCAUGUAUUGUAAAAGGGUAAUUCAAACAAAUGGUAUUGAAAUUCCAUAGGUAAAAAUGAAUUCAAGAAUUGAUUUA
Lotus japonicus is the source of this 689-nucleotide long non-coding RNA. RefSeq lists it as uncharacterized. NCBI's taxonomy places the organism in Eukaryota, Viridiplantae, Streptophyta, Magnoliopsida, Fabales, Fabaceae. The record is from RefSeq and is a predicted model, not a curated record. The transcript has 2 exons.